Molecule: ribosomal RNA, 409 nt
Filed under: Actinomycetes bacterium
Lineage: Bacteria; Bacillati; Actinomycetota; Actinomycetes
Description: Actinobacteria bacterium partial 16S ribosomal RNA
Rfam family: Bacterial small subunit ribosomal RNA
Source: RNAcentral
UGGGGAAUAUUGCACAAUGGGCGGAAGCCUGAUGCAGCGACGCCGCGUGGGGGGUGAAGGCCUUCGGGUUGUAAACUCCUUUCGACAGGGACGAAGCUUUUGUGACGGUACCUGUAUAAGAAGCACCGGCUAACUACGUGCCAGCAGCCGCGGUAAUACGUAGGGUGCGAGCGUUGUCCGGAAUUACUGGGCGUAAAGAGCUCGUAGGUGGUUUGUCGCGUCGUCUGUGAAAUUCCGGGGCUUAACUCCGGGCGUGCAGGCGAUACGGGCUGACUUGAGUGCUGUAGGGGAGACUGGAAUUCCUGGUGUAGCGGUGAAAUGCGCAGAUAUCAGGAGGAACACCGAUGGCGAAGGCAGGUCUCUGGGCAGUAACUGACGCUGAGGAGCGAAAGCAUGGGUAGCGAACAGG